Molecule: non-coding RNA, 2298 nt
Organism: Camellia sinensis
Lineage: Eukaryota; Viridiplantae; Streptophyta; Magnoliopsida; Ericales; Theaceae
Source: RefSeq, a predicted model, not a curated record
UAUAUAAAAUUAUAUAUUUUGAACAUGUACCUUACGUGUCGUAUCCUACAUUUUUUAAAAAUUUCUGUGUUGGCUUGUCGGUAUCGUGUCCAUAUCAUGUCACAUUUCCGUGCUUCUCAGAGGCAAUAUCUUAUGUCAUCCUCUUAAUCAGAUAUGUUUUUCUGAUAAUGGAAAAAAUUAAAAAAUGAAAUUCAAGUGUUGCACAGGUGUUGCCUUUCUUUUCCCUUUUCUCUGUCAUCAUCCAAUUAUUUUUGUUCCUAUUUUAAUUUGUUAUGAUCUUCACUAUGUUUUGCUCCUGAAUUUUCUCCUUUUGUUUGAAGCUGCAUCCCACCAAAUGACCGACAUUCUAAACAAUUCAUUUAUCAAUUAUACUAUUUUAUUGGUCAAGGUGAAGGGGUGAUAUUCAUUUACAUGUGAGAAGAUUGUAUAAUUGGGUUGCAACUAUAUUGCAGGAACUGAAUAUUGGUGGAAGUAUUGUUGUGGCAGCUUUGGAAGAGGCAUGCGGGACCAACAAAUCUAAAAUAAAGGAAUUGUAUGACAACUUAGGUGAUCUUGGUGAUGUUGCUCAACUUUGCCGACAAACACAGUCACUACUUGUCCCUCCACUGCCACUCUCAAUCCAAGGUGUAUUUUCCGUGCUUCGGAAGAUAAGAUUUUUCAGUGAUACCGGUUUGUGUAGGAAAGUUUGUGUCUGUGGAAAACUAGGCUUUUGUCUAUUAAGGUGGUCGUGCUUUUGUCUGAAAGUUCUAUUUCUCUUAAAAUUGUCAGUGAACAAACAGGUGGUGGAAGUACCGUUCGAAAGAAAAGCCUUGUUGUAAAUCUCAUGCGUUCUUGUAGAGAGAAGGAGAUGAAGUUUCUUGUCAGAACUUUGGUAAGUUAUGGAUUGAAAUAAUGAUAUUUUGCACCUUAAACAAACAAUGUUGGAAAAUGAGAAGUGAUUUUAUAUUUGUGUUAGUUAUUGUGGAAUUGGUUUUCUAGAGAACUUAAAGAUGCAUUUAUGCUUAUCUUGUGUGAUUUCAAGUAUGAUUGUUGAUUGUUCAGAAUAAAUUAUGGCAUAGAACAUGGUUCCAUUAUUUCAUACCACUUUGGUACAUAUUUUCUUAAAGUAACGACUUCUUUUGAAAAAUGCAAGUAUUCUCUUUUGGAAUAGUCCCACCUUUUUUUUUUCUUUAUUUAUUUAUUUGCAUUUUGGGGAUUUGCAUUAAAUUUUGAUGUGUCUCACAACCGAAAAGAAUUCAGGGGGUGACUUCAUUUUUGGAGCUGGUAUAGGUUCAAAGGGAUGAGAGAAUUAAGGAUACCCAGUUACCCUCCAGAAACUUGUUAGAAUUUCCCAUCUUUACCUUCACCUACUCCACUACACACUCCACUUCACCUACCUCCACUUCACCACACACUCCACUUCACCUAACCCACUAUCACCUCCACUACACCUACUACCACAUUUUCUUCUAUAUAUAGAUUGUAUAGGAAUUGUAAUCAAUAAAUCUUGUAAUCUAUCAAUUAAUCAAUAAUACAUACAUAAAUUACAUAAAUUCUUACAUGGUAUCAGAGCCAGGUUGAGAAUUUAGUGAUUCCGCUACACCGGCGGACGGCAGCCUCGCCUUGGCCGUCCGCCGGACAAACCCAAAAUUUUCUAAUUCUCUUUCUCCUUCCUCAACAAACUGAUUCAUCGCCCAACCCGUAAAUCAACGGUCCAGAUUCACCCAAACCUCCUAGAACUUCUACGCCCUUUGAUGCUUUGUUCAAAAUGGGUGCUUAUACAUUGCUCUCUGAAGCCUCCCCUGUUACCCAUUUCAAGAAUUUCACUUCUAACCAAGCAAUCCUCGAAGCUCUUGGCCAUGUCGGCUGUGUUCAUAUCAUCGAUUUCGAUGCUUUUGACCCAAGCUCUUAUUCAAUCCCUCCUGUCCGAUCACCGAACGAGGCAAUUGCCGUGAGUAUUCCUAUCUGGCCGUGAGUAUUCCUUUCUGUUGCUGUUGCGCCGCUUCUGAGCUCCCAUGCAAUGAUAUCAUCAUCAACUGCCGCCGCUCGUUUUGCGGUGGUGCCGCCUCCACCGCCAGCGUUUCUGCCGUCACUGCCUUCAAACUUAGGCCCUCCGAUUUAUAUCGGACAGCCGCUGCAUGUUGGUGGCCUCAGUGGCCCUGCUGCUGCUGUAUCUUACGGUAGUCAUUUAUCUUGUAAAUCAACUUCGGGGGACUUGGAUCUCAAUCUUCAUCUAAAUCUCCCUCUAAUCUCUCUGUUCUGCGAUCACGUGCUUUGAGUAGCCAUGAGGGUGGCCUUUUGAUAAAGAUGUUGCCAUUU